GUAAUCUUAGCUCAUUAGGUAGAGCAUAUAACUUCUAAUUAUAGGGUAGCAUGUUCAAAUCAUGCAGACUACA
RNAcentral lists this transfer RNA (73 nucleotides) under Crassvirales sp. RNAcentral's name for it is "tRNA-Arg". It matches the Rfam family "tRNA". From Rfam's summary of the family: Transfer RNA (tRNA) molecules are approximately 80 nucleotides in length. Their secondary structure includes four short double-helical elements and three loops (D, anti-codon, and T loops). Further hydrogen bonds mediate the characteristic L-shaped molecular structure. tRNAs have two regions of fundamental functional importance: the anti-codon, which is responsible for specific mRNA codon recognition, and the 3' end, to which the tRNAs corresponding amino acid is attached (by aminoacyl-tRNA synthetases). tRNAs cope with the degeneracy of the genetic code in two manners: having more than one tRNA (with a specific anti-codon) for a particular amino acid; and 'wobble' base-pairing, i.e. permitting non-standard base-pairing at the 3rd anti-codon position. Lineage: Duplodnaviria; Heunggongvirae; Uroviricota; Caudoviricetes; Crassvirales. The record is from RNAcentral.